Molecule: non-coding RNA, 241 nt
Organism: Pelobates cultripes (western spadefoot toad)
Lineage: Eukaryota; Metazoa; Chordata; Amphibia; Anura; Pelobatidae
Source: the annotation of a GenBank genome assembly
CACUGUUAUAGAUUGAAUAGCAGUUAGUUGUCUCAAAGCGGGUGUGUCAGGCUCACAGUGGAUACUGUGCCCAGUGCCACCACUCACUCACUGGUGUCACAAUAGCUUGCAUUUAAAAACAAAAAAAAGUUUUUCACUGUUAUAGACUGAAUAGCAGUUAGUUGUCUCAAAGCGGUUGUGUCAGCCCUACAGCGUGUACUCUGCCAGUUCACAGUGCCACUCUUAUCUGGUGUCACAAUAG